AAAUUUAAUGAUGAGAAUGAAUUACCGGUUGAAAUGCAUGAAAAUAAACCAGCGGCAAACUUUAUAUCUGAAUGUUUGAUUGAGCAAAGUGUUUUUUCUAGGUCUGAAAGCAAUUAACAUGCUCUCCUGGUCUUUCAGAUUCGUUAUAUGAAGAUAGAGAUGCAAGUUUAUUGUGGCUUCCACAGUGCAGUGGUAAUCCUCGCACCCUAUGCAAAAGUUCGGCAUAAAACCAGAUCAUAGCAGAUCUGAAAUGGGUAGCAUGGUUAACCCAAUGGUGACGGGUGAAGAAGAAGAAGAAGAAAAACAAAAAAACUACGCUCUGGUAAAAAAUGGCUGCGCUGGCUUUGAGUGAACGAGUUUGGUACAUUAGCCCAAAUCACUGGCUCGCCACGCUUUGGCACACCGCAGCAGCGUACAGCCGCACGCCAGCUUUUGAGCGGUUUGUUUUCACGCCUAUCGGCGUCACCCAUCAGGAAGAGGUUAAUGGAUCUCAUGCUGUAAACUUUGUCUUGAAAGAAUUUUUCAUUGUCAUUUAAGAUAUGGAAGAUAAAAAAUGCAAGUUUAUUGUGGGUCCACCUGUAAGCCUUGCACCUGUGUGAGAGUUUGCAUCCUGCCCAAAGGUUCCAAGGGUAAAAGGAAAGGCAUCCACUUUUAUGCAACUCUCCUGUCAAACCUAAGUCAUUGAGGGAGAGUUCUUGACAUGAAACCAGAUCACAGCAGCUCUAAAAUGGGCAGUCCUUUCAAGUGAUCUUGUGCUGAAAUCUCACUAAAGAAAUCCAGUUUCAUUGUCAUUAAAGAUAUUUUACAGUAAAAGGGAGGGCAUCAAAGCCCAAGUCUUUAGAGGAAGAGUUGGUGACAUGAAACCAAAUCAUAGCAGCUCUACAAUGGGCAGUCUUUUCAAGUGAUCUUGUGCUGAAAUCUCACUAAAGAAAUCCAGUUUCAUUGUCAUUAAAGGCGUGCUAAAAGAACAGUCCUGCCAGUUGUACUAAGAUCCAGUUUAUCUCCCAGGGGUGAGGAUACUUUUUACAUACCCUGAGAGACUGCAUCCUAGGGCAAAGAAAACUGGGCUACACCACCUUCCUUUUGUUUUAUUUGGUUUAGUAAUGUUUUUACGAUUAUUAAAAUUUCUCUUAAA
Long non-coding RNA from Penaeus indicus, 1135 nucleotides. RefSeq lists it as uncharacterized. The transcript has 10 exons. The record is from RefSeq and is a predicted model, not a curated record. Lineage: Eukaryota; Metazoa; Arthropoda; Malacostraca; Decapoda; Penaeidae.